UGCACAUAAACAGGAUUUCUGUGUGUGAGUGUGUGUGGCAGCGCUGCUCUACAGCGCCCCUGUAGUCUGGCCGCGGAACUGCGCCUCUACACACACUGACGCGAUACACACACUUUACCUGCUGCUCAUGCGCGAAUCACCGGACCACACCACCGUUAAUUACCGUUAAUCAAUCUUCAUCGACGGAUUCAUCAAUCAGUACAGAGAACGGAGUGAGGUUUGUGAUUCCCGGGGAGACGCUGAAUCGAGCGCCGGUGAUGAGGCCUGCUCUCGGGGAAGAGGCGGAGGAUCACGGUGUCAACGCCGCCGACGAGACGAAACAAAACCGAAUAUAAAGAAGCUGCAUCAUGAAGAAGACUGUGGUCUUUGGCAGCGAGGGACAUUAUUCCUGAAGAAGAAAUGACACACGACUGCGGAGCAAGUGACUGGCUUCAGAGAAAGGUUUCACUGCUUUUAUCAUGUUUACAAAUGUGAGAUGCAGAUUCUUUAACACUUGGACUAUUUUCUGAAGGGACCUAAAGAUCCUGUACUUGUACAUAUAGUGUUGUCACGCUCGUGGACCUUUC
This is a long non-coding RNA of Cyprinus carpio (common carp), 566 nucleotides long. RefSeq lists it as uncharacterized. The transcript is spliced from 3 exons. The record is from RefSeq and is a predicted model, not a curated record. Lineage: Eukaryota; Metazoa; Chordata; Actinopteri; Cypriniformes; Cyprinidae.